Molecule: ribosomal RNA, 275 nt
Filed under: uncultured bacterium
Lineage: Bacteria
Description: partial 16S ribosomal RNA
Rfam family: Bacterial small subunit ribosomal RNA
Source: RNAcentral
AUCUUUUCGGAGUGAAGACUUUUGUGACUGAGUGGCGGACGGGUGAGUAACGCGAGGGUAACCUGCCUCAUAGAGGGGGACAACAGUUGGAAACGACUGCUAAUACCGCAUAGUAAGAAGGAUUCGCAUGUUUUCUUCUUGAAAGCUUUUGCGCUAUGAGAUGGACCCGCGUCUGAUUAGCUAGUUGGUAAGGUAACGGCUUACCAAGGCGACGAUCAGUAGCCGGCUUGAGAGAGUGAACGGCCACAUUGGGACUGAGACACGGCCCAGACUCC